UGGAAAGAAGCAUGGCGGAUGCUGGAAAUAAAGAGUCAGCGACGAUUGGAGGAGAUGAAUUUACCAACACAGAGUUGGAGAAUAACAAGAAUAACACGAUGGUGCAGGAAGGAUCCACUCUGCUGCGGAGAAUGGAGAUCAGUGUGGCCGAGGCAGAGAAAAGAACUGGGAAAAAUACAGUGAACAUGCAAGAGAUAUUCACAGUGUACCUCAUAGAAACUCGAUCCAUAGAUGCAAUAACAGAAGGCCACAACCCAGCCCCAGACUCUCUCUGGAGGAGAUACAGUGAAUUUGAGAUUCUCCGGAACUAUUUGUUAGUCACCUAUCCAUUUAUCGUGGUGCCACCUUUGCCAGAGAAGAGGGCAGAGUUUGUUUGGCACAAGCUGUCGGCAGACAACAUGGACCCAGACUUUGUAGAGAGGCGCAGGGUUUGUCUGGAGAACUUCCUACUUCGUGUGGCCUCCCAUUCGGUUCUGUCCAAUGACAAAAUCCUAUACCACUUCCUGACUGAGGAACACAGGUGGAAGGAGGUGGUGUAUGAGACAGGGUUCCAAGCCAAGGCAGACUCCAGGAUUAAAGCUCUGAGCGCAACUUUCAGGGUGAAGAACCCUGACAAGCGGUUCACAGAGAUGAAACACUACAGCGAUGAGCUUCAGUCUCUCACCUCCCAGCUGCUCAGAGUCAGAGCAAGAGUAGCAGACAGGCUCUACGGCGUAUACAAAGUCCAUGGGAACUACGGAAGAGUGUUCAGUGAGUGGAGUGCCUUAGAGAAGGAGAUGGGAGACGGUCUACAGAGUGCUGGACACCAUAUGGAUGCCUAUGCUGCCUCAGUAGAUGAUAUCUUGGAGGAAGAGGAGCACUACGCAGACCAACUGAAGGAAUACCUUUUCUAUGCUGAAGCCUUAAGGGCUGUGUGUAGGAAACACGAGCUGACCCAGUAUGAGCUGGAGACGGCCUCCUCAGACCUCAUCUCCAAGAAGCAGCAACGGGAGGAGCUGGCCACUGGGAUGGUACGGACGUUCUCCUUCAAAGGAAUGACCAACAAGCUGUUUGGUCAGGAGACACCAGAGCAGAGGGAGGCUAAACUCAGCCUACUGGAGGAGCAGAUCGUCCACGGAGAGGAGACGGUCACAGAGAAAACAGUGGAGUGCGAGGAGUACGUGAAGGGUGCGUGGGUGGACAUGCAGCGCUUCAAGGAGCAGAAGGACAGGGAUCUGAGGGAGGCUCUGAUUGGCUACGCCAUCAUGCAGAUCAGCAUGUGUAAGAAGGGCAUUCAAGUGUGGACCAAUGCUAAGGAAUGUUUACACAAGAUGUAAGGGGGUCGGGCCGUGGGUCAGCGACAACGUCUAUGGUACGAGUGCACAACAACUUCACCUUUUGACCUUCAGAUGGAAACAGAACCACUGUUGUCACAGCAACAAGCCCCAGCUGGCAUAAAGUUACAGGGCUGCGUCUCAAUACUCAGUCCAAUACUGGCUGCGCUCCAGAUAAAGUGGGGAGGUAAGGAAGCCUUUCAAGACAUGAGAUGCAGUCUGGGACUAUAUUUUAUAAUGAGAUAUAAGGCACAAACAUCUCCUUGUGUUGGUUUAUUAAGAGAACAUGUGUGUAGUAUCAGCGGGAUAAAGGUUUGUUUAUUAAGAGAACAUGUGUGUAGUAUCAGUGGGAUAAAGGUUUGUUUAUUAAGAGAACAUGUGUGUAGUAUCAGUGGGAUAAAGGUUUGUUUAUUAAGAGAACAUGUGUGUAGUAUCAGUGGGAUAAAGGUUUGUUUAUUAAGAGAACAUGUGUAGUAUCAGUGGGAUAAAGGUUUGUUUAUUAAGAGAACAUGUGUGUAGUAUCAGUGGGAUAAAGGUUUGUUUAUUAAGAGAACAUGUGUAGUAUCAGUGGGAUAAAGGUUUGUUUAUUAAGAGAACAUGUGUGUAGUAUCAGUGGGAUAAAGGUUUGUUUAUUAAGAGAACAUGUGUGUAGUAUCAGUGGGAUAAAGGUUUGUUUAUUAAGAGAACAUGUGUAGUAUCAGUGGGAUAAAGGUUUGUUUAUUAAGAGAACAUGUGUGUAGUAUCAGUGGGAUAAAGGUUUGUUUAUUAAGAGAACAUGUGUAGUAUCAGUGGGAUAAAGGUUUGUUUAUUAAGAGAACAUGUGUAGUAUCAGCGGGAUAAAGGUUUGUUUAUUAAGAGAACAUGUGUAGUAUCAGUGGGAUAAAGGUUUGUUUAUUAAGAGAACAUGUGUAGUAUCAGCGGGAUAAAGGUUUGUUUAUUAAGAGAACAUGUGUAGUAUCAGUGGGAUAAAGGUUUGUUUAUUAAGAGAACAUGUGUAGUAUCAGUGGGAUAAAGGUUUGUUUAUUAAGAGAACAUGUGUGUAGUAUCAGUGGGAUAAAGGUUUGUUUAUUAAGAGAACAUGUGUAGUGUCAGCGGGAUAAAGGUUUGUUUAUUAAGAGAACAUGUGUAGUAUCAGUGGGAUAAAGGUUUGUUUAUUAAGAGAACAUGUGUGUAGUAUCAGUGGGAUAAAGGUUUGUUUAUUAAGAGAACAUGUGUGUAGUAUCAGUGGGAUAAAGGUUUGUUUAUUAAGAGAACAUGUGUGUAGUAUCAGUGGGAUAAAGGUUUGUUUAUUAAGAGAACAUGUGUAGUGUCAGCGGGAUAAAGGUUUGUUUAUUAAGAGAACGUGUGUGUGGUAUCAGUGGGAUAAAGGUCGUAUGGUGAGAGUGUAGCACAUGGGGGAUGUGGGAAACUUACUCCUUAGCCUGAAAUGUCACAGCUUGCGCAGCCAAAUUGUUAACGCUUCAAGGGCGCAGACUGGUAAGACGCUUCGGGAGGGCGGUCACGUGGGCUAGCGAAGCAGAUGUCCUGGGUUCGAGCAUCGGUGUGAGCCCGAUCAGGAGGAAGCGGUACUCGCUAAGCAAGCAGCGUGACGUCACUUAUCAGUAUGCUGCUGUUACCUUGGUUUACCUCUAUGAACUGAACUGGAAAAGAAACUGAAUCAACUGUCAAAGGACUUAUUGCCUUUUCUCUGCUUAAAGCACAUGAUAUCAUAAUGUCUGGUAUGUGAAUAUUGAAGAAGAUAUUAUUUCAGAAAAUGUCAAGGUACAUGUAUAUAAGAAUAUUAUAUACUUUGACGUGUCCAUCUAUGUAAAUAUAUUAACCUGGUGUUUGUUGGUUGAAGCCAAAAUAUUAACUCACUAAUUUAAUCAUAGUUUCUCAAAGAAAACCUCCUAUUUGUACAUUGUGACGCGCAGUAAUAAUGUGAUUUAAGGUCA
Salmo salar (Atlantic salmon) is the source of this 3247-nucleotide non-coding RNA. The record is from RefSeq and is a predicted model, not a curated record. NCBI's taxonomy places the organism in Eukaryota, Metazoa, Chordata, Actinopteri, Salmoniformes, Salmonidae.